GACGAACGCUGGCGGCGUGCUUAACACAUGCAAGUCGAACGGAAAGGCCCUGCUUUUGUGGGGUGCUCGAGUGGCGAACGGGUGAGUAACACGUGAGUAACCUGCCCUUGACUUUGGGAUAACUUCAGGAAACUGGGGCUAAUACCGGAUAGGAGCUCCUGCUGCAUGGUGGGGGUUGGAAAGUUUCGGCGGUUGGGGAUGGACUCGCGGCUUAUCAGCUUGUUGGUGGGGUAGUGGCUUACCAAGGCUUUGACGGGUAGCCGGCCUGAGAGGGUGACCGGGCACAUUGGGACUGAGAGACGGCCCAGACUCCUACGGGAGGCAGCAGUGGGGAAUAUUGCACAAUGGGCGGAAGCCUGAUGCAGCAACGCGGCGUGCGGGAUGACGGCCUUCGUGUUGUAAACCGCUUUCGCCUGUGACGAAGCGUGGGUGACGGUAAUGGGUAAAGAAGCACCGGCUAACUACGUG
RNAcentral lists this ribosomal RNA (468 nucleotides) under uncultured bacterium. RNAcentral describes it as "partial 16S ribosomal RNA". It matches the Rfam family "Bacterial small subunit ribosomal RNA", at positions 28 to 507 of the family's 1533-position model. The record is from RNAcentral.